UACAGAGGGUGCGAGCGUUAAUCGGAAUUACUGGGCGUAAAGCGCGCGUAGGCGGCUUUGCAAGUCGGGUGUGAAAUCCCCAGGCUUAACCUGGGAACUGCAUUCGAGACUGCAUUGCUAGAGUAUGGGAGAGGGAAGUGGAAUUCCCGGUGUAGCGGUGAAAUGCGCAGAUAUCGGGAAGAACACCCGUGGCGAAGGCGGUUCUCUGGGACGGUACUGACGCUGAGACGCGAAAGCGUGGGGAGCGAACAGG
RNAcentral lists this ribosomal RNA (253 nucleotides) under uncultured bacterium. Its description in RNAcentral is "partial 16S ribosomal RNA". It matches the Rfam family "Bacterial small subunit ribosomal RNA", at positions 524 to 776 of the family's 1533-position model. The record is from RNAcentral.